UGGGGAAUAUUGGACAAUGGGCGCAAGCCUGAUCCAGCCAUGCCGCGUGUGUGAAGAAGGCCUUCGGGUUGUAAAGCACUUUAAGCGAGGAGGAAGGGUUUCCGGCUAAUACCUGGGAACAUUGACGUUACUCGCAGAAUAAGCACCGGCUAACUCUGUGCCAGCAGCCGCGGUAAUACAGAGGGUGCAAGCGUUAAUCGGAAUUACUGGGCGUAAAGCGCGCGUAGGCGGUUGUGCAAGUUGGAGGUGAAAUCCCCGGGCUUAACCUGGCACUGCCUUCAAAACUGCACGGCUAGAGUAUGGGAGAGGAAGGUAGAAUUCCAGGUGUAGCGGUGAAAGUGCGUAGAGAUCUGGAGGAAUACCGAUGGCGAAGGCAGCCCCUGGCUAAGAUUGACGCUCAUGCACGAAAGCGUGGGGAGCAAACA
RNAcentral lists this ribosomal RNA (425 nucleotides) under uncultured Moraxellaceae bacterium. RNAcentral describes it as "bacterial SSU rRNA". It matches the Rfam family "Bacterial small subunit ribosomal RNA", at positions 355 to 774 of the family's 1533-position model. Lineage: Bacteria; Pseudomonadati; Pseudomonadota; Gammaproteobacteria; Moraxellales; Moraxellaceae. The record is from RNAcentral.